ACGCCACUCGAGCUCCCCUCUCCGCUCUGCUGGAAGGGGCUCGGUGUUGGGGCAGUAGGGCCUAGUUCUGCUAGGCUCCCUACGCCCUCAAAAGCAUUGCGCGGCCCUCGCAUCAGGACCCGAGCACAGUAAACUCUCACGUUGAGCUGCUUUGGGGGCACCUGCGCCGGGGCGCUAGCCGUAAAACCCACCAACAUAGGCCUGCUCGUCAGGCCGCCUGA
RNAcentral lists this unclassified non-coding RNA (221 nucleotides) under uncultured Beauveria. Its description in RNAcentral is "sequence contains ITS2". The record is from RNAcentral. Lineage: Eukaryota; Fungi; Ascomycota; Sordariomycetes; Hypocreales; Cordycipitaceae.